ACAUUUCAACCAAAGAAGCUCACAAAGUCCUUUAACCAUGCCUCUAAAUGCAACCUCUGCACUCGACAACACAAUUACCUUUUCCUUCUUACAUCUCCAAGUGACUAGGUUUCCACCAACAAAGGUGAAAUAUCCUCAUGUAGAUUUUCUGUCAGUGAUACUUCCAGCCUAGUCGACAUCCGUAUAACCAUCAAAACUUGAAUGAUUAUAUUUCCUAAACAUAGGUCCCUUUGCAGGAGAAGACUUUAAGUACCUUAGAAUUCGAAGUACAACAUCCAUGUGUUCCUCGCUAGUACCAAGCUGAUGGCACAGGCAAUAUCUGGCCGUGUAUGAGACAGGUAAAUCAAUUUUCCUACGAGCCGUUGAUACCUUUCUUUGUUUGUGGGUAUCUAGUUUGAGUGUACUCCCAGUCCAUGGUUUUGAACUAUUGGAGUAUCUGAGGGCUUAUAUUCAAGCAUCCUAUUUCAGCUAGCAGAUCAAGUACGUAUUUCCUUUGUGAGAGAAAAAUGCCUUGACUUGAUCGAGCUACUUCGAUUCCCAAACAAGUAUUUUAGUCCUCCCAGAUUCUUCAUCUCAAAUUAUGUUGCCAAAUGCUUAGGCAAAUUAGAUAUCUCCUCUGUGUCGUUCCCUGUAAUUAUCAUGUCAUCCAUAUAAAUAAUUCAAGCAGUUACCAUCCCUCUCCGGUGCUUCAAGAAUAGAGUAUGGCCUGAAUUGCUUUGAUUGAAGCCAUGCUUCCUCAUAGCCAAGCUAAAAUCGUUCAAACCACACUCUUGGUGAUGUUUAUUUUUCUUAUCUUAAUUUGUUCUUGCUAUAAAACUUUCUUUAUCUCAUCCACAUUUUGCUUUUCAUUCUUUCUAGAUACCUUCCGUAUUUGUGUUCAAGCAAAAAACAAAAAGCAAAAAACAAAAGAAUCUUCCAAUUGAGAGAUAUCAAUCAUCAUUUUGUUUUAGCAGAAUUUCAUUCCCAAUACAUUAGAUCUACCUUACUGAUAAAGGUAUGUUUAAGAAUUUUUUCUAAUUUGUUCGUGCUAUAUAACUUUCUUUAUCUCAUCCACGAUUACCUUUUCUUUCCUUUCAGAUACCUUCCGUAUUUGUGCUCAGGCAAAAACAAAAAACAAAAAAACCUCCCAGUUGGAUAGGAGUCAUUGUCUUGUUUUAGCAGAACAUCAUUCCCAAUACUUAAGAUUCUUCUACCUUACUGAUAAAGGUUUGGUGGGGUUGAAAGCACUGAGCAUCCUAUCUAGCCUGUCAUCGAAAGAAUUGAACCAGGUGUUCUAUCAAGUUUUCUUGAGUUAGAAGAACUUGAUAUGGCAGGUUGAGUUGCAGUUGAAUGGGAAGUCGAAAAUGAAGUAGAACAGAGGAGAGAUGUCUCACUUGCUGAACUAGAGGUGAUGCAAAAUUUGACCACGCUAAGAAUUAUCAUCUCUGACAGAUUUAUACCAAAAGAUGGAAGUCUUCCAGAUAGUGUGGUGCAGUUCAGAUGCAGAGCAUGCUGUGUAUUGGAUUCGCAACAUUGUUGUGGGUGCUGAACAUGUCGUGUUGCGGGAAAGUGUAACAAAAUAUGUAAUUGAUUUAUUGGCUAGCGAAAGUUUCCAGCAAGUGAAGAGCUUAGAUGUUGGCUUCUGUAAUGAAUUGUUGUAUGUUGCAAAUAUGUCGAAUUUGAUCUAUCCCUGCAAGGCUGCAAGUCAAUAUAAUUGUUUUGCCACCUUGAACGCCUUAGCAUCAGAAAUUGUGAGGAAACUGUUUAUUUUCUCUCAAUGCCA
Lycium ferocissimum is the source of this 1762-nucleotide long non-coding RNA. RefSeq lists it as uncharacterized. Lineage: Eukaryota; Viridiplantae; Streptophyta; Magnoliopsida; Solanales; Solanaceae. The transcript has 3 exons. The record is from RefSeq and is a predicted model, not a curated record.